AGCCGGGUCUUGCGCAAUGGUAGAGCGCGAAUCCCGCCAGGUCCGGAAGGAAGCAACGGUAGCAGCUCACACCAUGUGCCGCAAGGGUGCCUGGCUAUC
Deltaproteobacteria bacterium is the source of this 99-nucleotide non-coding RNA. The record is from Rfam. Lineage: Bacteria; Pseudomonadati; Myxococcota; Myxococcia.